This 165-nucleotide ribosomal RNA is filed under the name Brasilochloa sampaiana. Its description in RNAcentral is "Sucrea sampaiana 5.8S ribosomal RNA". The stretch from base 1 to 128 matches the Rfam family "5.8S ribosomal RNA", at positions 29 to 154 of the family's 154-position model. Rfam says of the family: 5.8S ribosomal RNA (5.8S rRNA) is a component of the large subunit of the eukaryotic ribosome. It is transcribed by RNA polymerase I as part of the 45S precursor that also contains 18S and 28S rRNA. Lineage: Eukaryota; Viridiplantae; Streptophyta; Magnoliopsida; Poales; Poaceae. The record is from RNAcentral.
CGCAUCGAUGAAGAACGUAGCGAAAUGCGAUACCUGGUGUGAAUUGCAGAAUCCCGCGAACCAUCGAGUCUUUGAACGCAAGUUGCGCCCGAGGCCAUCCGGCCAAGGGCACGCCUGCCUGGGCGUCACGCCAAAAGACGCUCCAAAACCCCCCUCUCCGGGGCG